This 944-nucleotide ribosomal RNA is filed under the name uncultured eukaryote. RNAcentral's name for it is "eukaryotic LSU rRNA". The stretch from base 1 to 243 matches the Rfam family "Eukaryotic small subunit ribosomal RNA", at positions 1593 to 1831 of the family's 1831-position model. The record is from RNAcentral.
UUGCUCUUCAACGAGGAAUUCCUAGUAAGCGCGAGUCAUCAGCUCGCGUUGACUACGUCCCUGCCCUUUGUACACACCGCCCGUCGCUCCUACCGAUUGAAUGGUCCGGUGAAGUGUUCGGAUCGCGGCGAUGUGGGCGGUCCGCUGCCGGCAACGUCGCGAGAAGUCCACUGAACCUUAUCAUUUAGAGGAAGGAGAAGUCGUAACAAGGUUUCCGUAGGUGAACCUGCGGAAGGAUCAUUGUCGAUACCUGCCCAGCAGAACGACCCGUGAACUUGUAAUAACCUUCUGGGUUGGGGUGUCAUGCCCCCUCCCAAAAACGGUUGGGAGGGCACGUUGAAAUCUGCCCACCGCUCCUCGUGUGUGGCGGGUCAGUCUCCUCGUUCCCUUCCCGGUCGAACAAUGAACCCCGGCGCGGUCUGCGCCAAGGAACUCAAACAAGGAGUAACCACGUCAUGCCCCGGAAACGGUGUGCGUGCCGUUGGUGACAUCUUACCACGAUACAUAACGACUCUCGGCAACGGAUAUCUCGGCUCUCGCAUCGAUGAAGAACGUAGCGAAAUGCGAUACUUGGUGUGAAUUGCAGAAUCCCGCGAAUCAUCGAGUCUUUGAACGCAAGUUGCGCCCGAAGCCAUUCGGCCGAGGGCACGUCUGCCUGGGUGUCACGCAUCGUUGCCCCCACCCCAACACCUCGUAUGAUGUGUACGGUGCGGGGCAGAAAUUGGCCUCCCGUGUGCGUUGCUCGCGGUUAGCCUAAACGCGAGUCCUGGGCGACGAGCGCCACGACAAUCGGUGGUUGACAAAACCCUCGUGCCCCGUCGUGCGUUGCUCGACGCCGUGAAGGCUCUCCUCGACCCUAUUGCGUCGUUCUUGCGACUCUACCAUCGCGACCCCAGGUCAGGCGGGAUUACCCGCUGAAUUUAAGCAUAUCAAUAAGCGGAGGA